This 457-nucleotide ribosomal RNA is filed under the name uncultured bacterium. Its description in RNAcentral is "bacterial SSU rRNA". It matches the Rfam family "Bacterial small subunit ribosomal RNA", at positions 28 to 473 of the family's 1533-position model. The record is from RNAcentral.
GACGAACGCUGGCGGCGUGCCCAAUACAUGCAAGUCGAGCGGAUUUGUUCCUUCGGGGACAAGUUUAGCGGCGGACGGGUGAGUAACACGUAGGUAACCUGCCUAUAAGACUGGGAUAACUAUCGGAAACGAUAGCUAAGACCGGAUAACUGGUUUUCUCGCAUGAGAGAACUAUGAAACACGGAGCAAUCUGUGACUUAUAGAUGGGCCUGCGGCGCAUUAGCUAGNGGUAGGUAAUGGCCUACCAAGGCGACGAUGCGUAGCCGACCUGAGAGGGUGACCGGCCACACUGGGACUGAGACACGGCCCAGACUCCUACGGGAGGCAGCAGUAGGGAAUCUUCCGCAAUGGACGCAAGUCUGACGGAGCAACGCCGCGUGAGUGAUGAAGGUUUCGGAUCGUAAAGCUCUGUUGCCCUAGACGAACCAGCAUGAGGAGUAACUGCCUUGUGUGUGAC